UACAGAGGUCCCAAGCGUUGUUCGGAUUCACUGGGCGUAAAGGGUGCGUAGGUGGUUAUGUAAGUUUGAUGUGAAAUCUCCGGGCUUAACCCGGAAAUUGCAUUGAAUACUACAUGGCUUGAGGUUUGGAGGGGGGACUGGAAUUCUUGGUGUAGCAGUGAAAUGCGUAGAUAUCAAGAGGAACACCAGUGGCGAAGGCGAGUCCCUGGACAAAUCCUGACACUGAGGCACGAAAGCUAGGGGAUCAAACGGG
Molecule: ribosomal RNA, 253 nt
Filed under: uncultured bacterium
Lineage: Bacteria
Description: partial 16S ribosomal RNA
Rfam family: Bacterial small subunit ribosomal RNA
Source: RNAcentral